This is an RNA transcript of Triticum aestivum (bread wheat), 2819 nucleotides long. RefSeq lists it as uncharacterized. The record is from RefSeq and is a predicted model, not a curated record. NCBI's taxonomy places the organism in Eukaryota, Viridiplantae, Streptophyta, Magnoliopsida, Poales, Poaceae. The transcript has 4 exons.
UAUAAGGCGCGACGUGUCUACGGCCUACUCCACCCGACCCACCCCAGCCUAACCCGCCUCCUACCGCCGGAGGCAGUCGUCGCGGGCGAGCGAGCGACGGCGUCAGCCGGAGCGAGGGAGUGCGCGUCGCCGUGACUGGCCGCCGAUGGAUCCACCCGUGCCCUGCCCCUGCCUCCCGGAACUGGCCCCAACCCACUGCUCGCCUCCAUCCCGCGCGCCGGCCGUCGACUUCCUCCCUCGCGCCGGCCGCCAACUCCCUCCCGCACGCCACCACCGUCCCCCGCGCCGGUCGCCGCCUCUCUCUCGUGCGCCGCCGCCGUUCCCCUUUGCCUCUUCGCGCCGCCUCCCCCUCUGCCCUGGCGCCUGACUCUCACGCCGCCGCGCUACGCCCAACCUCCCGCGUGACCAGCAGUGUCACCACCCCUGAGCUCCACCGUCCAGACCCCGAGCUCGAUAGGCUGCUCGACCGUGUCGACGAGGGGGAUCCUCCUGGUGGCUGCUGCUCCUCGGCGUCCACGGGCUAGGAGGAGCCCCAGGUCAGCACUCACCAGCGCUCCCUCAGUAGCUCGAUAUAAAUCGAGAGGCAGCGAUAGCAGAUAGGGGAAGCAGAGCAGAGCAGAAGCAGAAGCAGGCAAGAGGCGAGCAGGAAGCAAGAAAGGUGGAGAUGGCGCCCAUCAAGCUAUAUGGGAUGAUGCUGUUCGGACAACGUGACCCGCGUGGCCACGAUGCUCAACGAGCUGGGCCUCGACUUCGACUUCGUCGACAUCGACCUCCGCACCGGCAUCGACCUCCGCACCGGCACCCACAAGCACCCCGACUUCCUCAAGCUCAACCCUUGGUAUACGCGCAUCAGUCUCGGUAGCAGUAGGAUUUACUCGCACCGGGUCACCGACCGGAUGUAUCUUGUUCUUCUGUUCACCCGAGCUCGACAGGCUGCUCGAUCGUGUCGACGAGCGGGAUCCUCCUGGCGGCUGCUGCUCCUCGGCGUCCAUGAGCUGGGCUCCUCGAAUCCCGUCGUCGCCCUCCACGAGCGGGUUCCUCCCGGCGGCCACUGCUCGUCCACGAGUGGUGCUGCCUCUUAUCCUGUCGACGGCGUCCACGAGCAGCGCUAGGAGAGAUUCCAUACGCGCUGCACAGCCAUCCAAGUUGAGCACACACAACAGUCCAAGGUGAUGCAUGAUCCCCAUGCCUUCUCCCCUGGACGCCCCUCCAUUGUUUGUUGAAAUGCCUACAAGAAUUAUAACUACUAUUUUUCCAUCUUUCCCUUCUUUUUUAAACUGAAGCUAAACUCAGGUAAAAGAAUUGCAUUGUAUUUUGUGCUUGUGAAAUGCUCAAAUGUUCGUUUGCUGCUGUUCAUAUUCGCAUGUGAAAAAAAGUUCAUGUAAAUUACGUGGCUAGUGUAGUUCAGAAAAAAGUGUGGAGAUGAAGCAAAUCUAAAGCUCACUUUCAGGAACUUUGCUUGCAACACCUAGAAAGUUCAAAAUUUGUGGCACGUUCAGUACAAAAAAUGUGGAGAUGAAGUAAAUUUGAAACUUUGCAGGGGCUGGGGGUACUUCACUACUAAAUGAACAUUCAACUUAUGGACAUAUAUACUCAGUUAUUAUUGUAUAACAUAGAGUUACCUUGGACGUUCAUGCUUCUUCUCUGGUGUAUAUUCAAUUCAACAUAUGGUGGUUCUUCAGGUAGCCUUGGCGUGCAUUUUCAGUUCAUCUUGCAGGUGAAGGAGCUCCCCUUCAGUUUAUCUUGCAGGUGUGUUUGGGCAGUACAAACACAUCACCAUAGUUUGUACAGAUUAUCUCUGGAUCCAAAGAAAGAAAGAAAUCUCCAGCCAACUUGCCUUGAAACUAAUCAAGCCCUAUUUUUUGUUGUCACCGAGCAACAAGAAAACAGCCCCCAGGCCGUUCACAGCCGCCACCGAGGCCGUUCAACUAGGGGUCCUUCAACAACGCAGCAGUCAGAAGCUUUUCUCUCGUUUUCUCCCGCCUCUGUAAUUUCUUUUUGAUUUUGGGGACUGAGUGAGUGCAGUUCACCGAGGCAUUCCAUGUGCUAAUGGGCUAUGCUUGCUUAGCACAAAUUCAUGAACUGUCAAUUUUUUUAAUUGAACUGAUGCUACUCUUGAUUCAGAUCUGAGGGAAGAAGACAAAACUAAGUGAUUCAGUUCAUCAUUGGCAUCCUUGUGAACAGUUCUGAAGAUAGCUUUCAGAGACUAAUUAGGGUGGUUCAAUGUGUCGAGCGGUGGCAGCGCUUGCUCCCAAUGGUUGCUCGCGCAAGGAGGAUACAGGGAUGCUACAUUGCAGGAGGAGCAGUAGCAUGUAGUAGCUAGCUGAAGAAAAGGAGGUUCAAAGAUUGUCGUGGAGCAAGUUCAAGAGAUUAGUUUGGUGAAAAUAAUGUGAUCUUUUGGUCAGGAUUUUGGAUGAUCCAUAGCCAUCAGACAAGCAGUUCAAGGCCUACUACGCAAGUCAUCCAUCGUCUUCUACGCAUGAGCUUCUUGUCUCUACACAUCUAGCACCGGAGUAUCCCCUCCCCUUGCCGCACACACAUGCCCGCGGUCGAGCUAGUGUUGUUUGUGAUUGCUGGUCGUGACUCUUACGUUGUCCUGUUGUUUGUGAUUGCUGGUCGUGACUCUUACGUUGUCAUUGGACAAAUAAUUUGUUCUGAAACUCUGUACUGACGGGACCUUCAACAUAUAUGGUGUUUAGAAUUUUUUAUGUAACUCUGUACUGUCGACCUUCAACAUAUAUGGUGUUGUCAGUAUUUGGUGUUAUCAGUAUUCUGAUUUGUAGGCCAAAAUGGUGAACAUCUAAACAUUAGUUCGAUUU